GACGAACGCUGGCGGCGUGCCUAAUACAUGCAAGUUGAGCGCUGAAGGUUGGUACUUGUACCAACUGGAUGAGCAGCGAACGGGUGAGUAACGCGUGGGGAAUCUGCCUUUGAGCGGGGGACAACAUUUGGAAACGAAUGCUAAUACCGCAUAAAAACUUUAAACACAAGUUUUAAGUUUGAAAGAUGCAAUUGCAUCACUCAAAGAUGAUCCCGCGUUGUAUUAGCUAGUUGGUGAGGUAAAGGCUCACCAAGGCGAUGAUACAUAGCCGACCUGAGAGGGUGAUCGGCCACAUUGGGACUGAGACACGGCCCAAACUCCUACGGGAGGCAGCAGUAGGGAAUCUUCGGCAAUGGACGAAAGUCUGACCGAGAAACGCCGAGUGAGGGAAGAAGGUUUUCGGAUCGUAAAACUCUGUUGGUAGAGAAGAACGUUGGUGAGAGUGGAAAGCUCAUCAAGUGACGGUAACUACCCAGAAAGGGACGGCUAACUACGUG
RNAcentral lists this ribosomal RNA (497 nucleotides) under uncultured bacterium. RNAcentral describes it as "partial 16S ribosomal RNA". It matches the Rfam family "Bacterial small subunit ribosomal RNA", at positions 28 to 507 of the family's 1533-position model. The record is from RNAcentral.